Molecule: ribosomal RNA, 724 nt
Filed under: Galerina badipes
Lineage: Eukaryota; Fungi; Basidiomycota; Agaricomycetes; Agaricales; Galerinaceae
Description: eukaryotic LSU rRNA
Rfam family: 5.8S ribosomal RNA (bases 276-429)
Source: RNAcentral
ACAAGGUUUCCGUAGGUGAACCUGCGGAAGGAUCAUUAUUGAAUGAACUUGAUGUGGUUGUCGCUGGCUCUCUCGAGAGCAUGUGCACGCCCGUCAUCUUUAUCUUUCCACCUGUGCACCCUUUGUAGACUUGAAUAGUAUUUUCUGAGGUAACUCAGUUGUGAGGAUUGCUGGUUUUCAUCAGCUUUCCUUGAAUUAUUCAAGGCUAUGUUUUCAUAUACCCCAAAGAAUGUAACAGAAUGUAUCAUUGGGCCUUGUGCCUAUAAACUAUAUACAACUUUCAGCAACGGAUCUCUUGGCUCUCGCAUCGAUGAAGAACGCAGCGAAAUGCGAUAAGUAAUGUGAAUUGCAGAAUUCAGUGAAUCAUCGAAUCUUUGAACGCACCUUGCGCUCCUUGGUAUUCCGAGGAGCAUGCCUGUUUGAGUGUCAUUAAAUUCUCAACCUUUGCCAGCUUUUACGAGUUUGGUAAUGGCUUGGACUUGGGGGUUUUUUUGCUGGCUUCGUUAAGAAGUCUGCUCCCCUUAAAUGUAUUAGCCGGUACCCGUGUGGAGCCGUCUAUUGGUGUGAUAAUUAUCUACGCCGUGGACUUUCACUUUAAAUGGGUUGUACUGCUUCUAACCGUCCAUUAAGUUGGACAAUUAUUGACAAUUUGACCUCAAAUCAGGUAGGACUACCCGCUGAACUUAAGCAUAUCAAUAAGCGGAGGAAAAGAAACUAACAAGGA